Molecule: ribosomal RNA, 252 nt
Filed under: uncultured bacterium
Lineage: Bacteria
Description: partial 16S ribosomal RNA
Rfam family: Bacterial small subunit ribosomal RNA
Source: RNAcentral
UACGGAGGAUGCGAGCGUUAUCCGGAUUUAUUGGGUUUAAAGGGUGCGCAGGCGGCGUGUCAAGUCAGCGGUAAAAUGUCGGGGCUCAACCCCGGCCGGCCGUUGAAACUGGCGUGCUCGAGUUGGAGAGAAGUAUGCGGAAUUCGUGGAGUAGCGGUGAAAUGCAUAGAUAUCACGAAGAACCCCGAUUGCGAAGGCAGCAUACCGGCUCCACACUGACGCUGAGGCACGAAAGCGUGGGUAUCGAACAGG